CCUACGGGGCGCAGCAGUGGGGAAUAUUGGACAAUGGGCGAAAGCCUGAUCCAGCCAUGCCGCGUGUGUGAAGAAGGCCUUCGGGUUGUAAAGCACUUUCAGUGGGGAAGAAAGCCUUGGGGCUAAUACCCUCGAGGAAGGACAUCACCCACAGAAGAAGCACCGGCUAACUCCGUGCCAGCAGCCGCGGUAAUACGGAGGGGUGCGAGCGUUAAUCGGAAUUACUGGGCGUAAAGCGCGCGUAGGCGGUCUGAUAAGCCGGUUGUGAAAGCCCCGGGCUCAACCUGGGAACGGCAUCCGGAACUGUCAGGCUAGAGUGCAGGAGAGGAAGGUAGAAUUCCCGGUGUAGCGGUGAAAUGCGUAGAGAUCGGGAGGAAUACCAGUGGCGAAGGCGGCCUUCUGGACUGACACUGACGCUGAGGUGCGAAAGCGUGGGUAGCAAACAGGAUUAGAUACCCCGGUAGUC
Molecule: ribosomal RNA, 466 nt
Filed under: Vreelandella stevensii
Lineage: Bacteria; Pseudomonadati; Pseudomonadota; Gammaproteobacteria; Oceanospirillales; Halomonadaceae
Description: partial 16S ribosomal RNA
Rfam family: Bacterial small subunit ribosomal RNA
Source: RNAcentral